This 328-nucleotide unclassified non-coding RNA is filed under the name soil metagenome. RNAcentral's name for it is "partial contains 5.8S ribosomal RNA, internal transcribed spacer 2, and large subunit ribosomal RNA". The stretch from base 1 to 121 matches the Rfam family "5.8S ribosomal RNA", at positions 35 to 154 of the family's 154-position model. The record is from RNAcentral.
GAUGAAGAACGUAGCGAAAUGCGAUAAGUAAUGUGAAUUGCAGAUUUCCAGUGAAUCAUCGAAUCUUUGAACGCACAUUGCGCCCCUUGGUAUUCCGAGGGGCAUGCCUGUUCGAGCGUCAUUAUAACCCCUCAAGCUCGGCUUGGUGUUGGGGCCUGCCGCACGGGCAGCCCUUAAAAUCAGUGGCGGUGCCAUCUGGCUCUAAGCGUAGUAAUUCUUCUCGCUAUAGAGUCCCGGUGGAUGCUUGCCAUUAACCCCCAAUUUCAAUGGUUGACCUCGGAUCAGGUAGGGAUACCCGCUGAACUUAAGCAUAUCAAUAAGCGGAGGA